RNAcentral lists this ribosomal RNA (253 nucleotides) under uncultured bacterium. Its description in RNAcentral is "partial 16S ribosomal RNA". It matches the Rfam family "Bacterial small subunit ribosomal RNA", at positions 524 to 776 of the family's 1533-position model. The record is from RNAcentral.
UACGUAGGGGGCAAGCGUUGUCCGGAAUUAUUGGGCGUAAAGAGCGUGUAGGCGGCCAGAUAAGUCCGCUGUGAAAACUCGAGGCUCAACUUCGAGCUGUCGGUGGAAACUUUCUGGCUAGAGUCCGGAAGAGGAGAAUGGAAUUCCUGGUGUAGCGGUGAAAUGUGCAGAUAUCAGGAAGAACACCCGUGGCGAAGGCGGUUCUCUGGGACGGUACUGACGCUGAGACGCGAAAGCGUGGGGAGCGAACAGG